RNAcentral lists this ribosomal RNA (253 nucleotides) under uncultured bacterium. RNAcentral describes it as "partial 16S ribosomal RNA". It matches the Rfam family "Bacterial small subunit ribosomal RNA", at positions 524 to 776 of the family's 1533-position model. The record is from RNAcentral.
UACGUAGGGGGCAAGCGUUGUCCGGAAUUAUUGGGCGUAAAGAGCGCGUAGGCGGUCUGAUAAGUCGGUUGUGAAAGUCGGGGGCUCAACCCUCGGAUGCCGAUCGAUACUGUCAGGCUAGAGUCCGGAAGAGGCGAGUGGAAUUCCUGGUGUAGCGGUGAAAUGCGCAGAUAUCAGGAAGAACACCAAUGGCGAAAGCAGCUCUCUGGGAUGGUACUGACGCUGAGACGCGAAAGCGUGGGGAGCGAACAGG